This 497-nucleotide ribosomal RNA is filed under the name uncultured bacterium. RNAcentral describes it as "partial 16S ribosomal RNA". It matches the Rfam family "Bacterial small subunit ribosomal RNA", at positions 28 to 507 of the family's 1533-position model. The record is from RNAcentral.
GACGAACGCUGGCGGCGUGCCUAAUACAUGCAAGUUGAGCGCUGAAGGUUGGUACUUGUCCCAACUGGAUGAGCAGCGCACGGGUGAGUAACGCGUGGGGAAUCUGCCUUUGAGCGGGGGACAACAUUUGGAAACGAAUGCUAAUACCGCAUAAAAACUUUAAACACAAGUUUUAAGUUUGAAAGAUGCAAUUGCAUCACUCAAAGAUGAUCCCGCGUUGUAUUAGCUAGUUGGUGAGGUACAGGCUCACCAAGGCGAUGAUACAUAGCCGACCUGAGAGGGUGGGCGGCCACAUUGGGACUGAGACACGGCCCAAACUCCUACGGGAGGCAGCAGUAGGGAAUCUUCGGCAAUGGACGAAAGUCUGACCGAGCAACGCCGCGGGAGUGAAGAAGGUUUUCGGAUCGUAGAACUCUGUUGGUAGAGAAGAACGUUGGUGAGAGUGGAAAGCUCAUCAAGUGACGGUAACUACCCAGAAAGGGACGGCUAACUACGUG